RNAcentral lists this long non-coding RNA (1329 nucleotides) under Citrus x clementina. RNAcentral describes it as "Citrus clementina (C. clementina) long non-coding RNA (CCLE_LNC005681)". Lineage: Eukaryota; Viridiplantae; Streptophyta; Magnoliopsida; Sapindales; Rutaceae. The record is from RNAcentral.
UGUUGGGUGCAGACAUCGCCAACUUAGGUGGCGUUUGUUUUUUUGACUGAAAUCUAAAUAGACCUGAAUUAGUCUGAAUUCUGAAUAGAUCUGAAUGUCUGAAUCUGAAUAAUAUGUUUGUUUUUUCGUCUGAAUCUCGGAAAAUAUAUAUUAAGUUGUUUUUUUUUCAACUGAAAAAGCUGAAAAUAUGUACAUUUACAUUUGUAUCUUUAUUAAAUUUGAAUGUCAAAUAAAUAAUAUAUUAAAUACCACAAUAUUUUAACAUUUAUAAGUAAAAUUAUAUUUAAGUGAAUACAUAAUCAUUUUAGAAUUUUAAUAUAUAAAAUAACAUAAAUUUUAAAUUUUAUCGUAUAUAAUAUAAGAAAGAAAAAAUGUAGAUAUUUUUAUGUGGGGUAAAUGUCUAUGAGUGAGUUUUGGGAUAAACAUGAAAAAUAAAUUAUAACACAUGGAUAUUUUUGACAUUAGUAAGUAAUUGACUUAAUUCAAAUUUCUCCAUUAAGUAAAAAGCAAAAACAAUUGGCUUAUUUUAUUAAGUCAAAAUUAUCUAAAAAGUCUCAUUAAGUUAUAAAAACAAACACCUCUAAUUAACUUAAUUAAUUAAGUUAAGUCAUUAAGUUAAAAAACAAACGCCAACUUAGUCAUGAAAUAGUGUAAAAAUAUUGUUAGGAUAGCAUGAGGAAAAUUCAUUUUCACCGUGAAUAUGGGUUAAUUGGUUCAAGCAAAUAUUGAAGGAAGUCAAGAACGGACGUAAGGCAUUUGAAUUUGGCGCACUCUAACUCAAUAUAAGAAAAGACUAGCGUAAUGUUGCGGACCGCCUAAGUUGCUAGCCCAAAUUACCUACCAAGAGCCCAAGACAAGGCCAAAAGUACUAACUUGGCUCGAUUUCGAAAAGUUCUAGGCAACUCUAGUACAUUUGAGCUUGUAAAUAAUUUAGAAUACUCUACACAUUUCUAGCUCAUGUAAAUAUCUAGAAUUCUAGGCAUGUGGUAGAAUUCUUUAGAAUCUCUAGAGCUUGGCAAGCCUCCCCUAUAAAUAGGGCAUGACAUUUAGCAUUUGAGCAACAAGCUUAGAGCAAGCAACUCAAGCAUUCUUGUAAGCUCUCUUGUAAUAUUUCUUGUGAGUAAUACAAUUCUCUUCAUUCGGCUCCAUUGCUCUCUUAUCUCUAGCUCUUCGAAAACCUUUAGGCUUAGCUAGUCGAGAAGUUCAAGGCUUACUUUGCAAUAUUCGUCAAAGGUUGUCUAAGUGCCGCACGGGUUUGCUGCACAAAACAUUCAUCCCGUGACAGUAAGGAUGCUUCCACUCCAUUAUUUUUCUGUAAAUUCAUUCUAU